AGAGUUUGAUCCUGGCUCAGAAUGAACGCUGGCGGCGUGCUUAACACAUGCAAGUCGUACGAGAACACCCUAGCUUGCUAGGGUAAGUAAAGUGGCGCACGGGUGAGUAACGCGUGGGUAAUCUACCUUCGAAUUGGGGAUAACGUUGCGAAAGCGACGCUAAUACCGAAUAACAUCCAUUAAUCUUCGGGUUUUUGGAUCAAGGGUGGCCUCUACAUGUAAGCUACUGUUUGAAGAUGAGCCCGCGUACCAUUAGCUUGUUGGUGGGGUAAUGGCCUACCAAGGCAGCGAUGGUUAGCUGGUCUGAGAGGAUGAUCAGCCACACUGGAACUGACACACGGUCCAGACUCCUACGGGAGGCAGCAGUGAGGAAUUUUGCGCAAUGGGGGAAACCCUGACGCAGCAACGCCGCGUGAGUGAUGAAGGCUUUCGGGUCGUAAAGCUCUGUCAAGUGGGAAGAACCUGCAGUAUGCUAAUAUCAUAUUGCACUGACGGUACCACUGAAGGAAGCACCGGCUAACUCCGUGCCAGCAGCCGCGGUAAUACGGGGGGUGCAAGCGUUAUUCGGAAUCAUUGGGCGUAAAGAGCACGUAGGCGGCCUGGUAAGUCAGAUGUGAAAGCCCGGGGCUUAACCCCGGAAGUGCACUUGAAACUAUUAGACUUGAGUAUGGGAGAGGGAAGUGGA
RNAcentral lists this ribosomal RNA (685 nucleotides) under uncultured delta proteobacterium. Its description in RNAcentral is "bacterial SSU rRNA". It matches the Rfam family "Bacterial small subunit ribosomal RNA", at positions 8 to 665 of the family's 1533-position model. Lineage: Bacteria; Deltaproteobacteria. The record is from RNAcentral.